UUGAUGUUGCUCCCCAGCAGCAUGGCGGUUUGUGUGGUUCACUACACGUAACAGAACCGCGAAUAAUCUUGUCGCCGGGAUAAGAAACGUUUACUGUCCUGGGCAGGCCGUGAGAUGGAUGGGGUACACCUGGAGUUCCCGGCCUUGCCCUCUUCCAGGGAGGAUGCGGGGGAUUGGAUGUAUCCAAUGAGACGAGCAAUGCAGGAGAUACUACCUGGCUUGUACUUGGGUCCAUAUUCUGCCGCUAUGAAAAGUAAGCUUCCCAUUCUUGAAGAAAAUGGAAUAACUCACAUUAUAUGUGUACGGCAAGAUAUUGAAGCAAACUUCAUCAAGGCAAAUUUCCAAGAGAAAUUUAGGUAUUUAAUUUUGGAUAUUGCUGAUAAUCCAGUGGAAAAUAUAAUACGAUAUUUCCCUGUGACAAAAGAAUUCAUUGAUGGAUGCUUGAAAAAUGGAGGAAAAGUUCUUUUACAUGGAAAUGCAGGUAUUUCUCGAAGUGCAGCCUUGGUCAUAGCAUAUGUUAUGGAAACAUUUGGAGUUAAGUAUAGGGAUGCCUUUACCUAUGUUCAGGAAAGGAGAUUUUGUAUUAAUCCAAAUGCUGGAUUUGUCCAUCAGUUACAGGAAUACGAAGCCAUUUAUUUAGCAAAAUUGACAAUAAAGAUGAUGUCACCACUCCAACUGGGCAGAUCUGUUUCUGCACAAGUUGUUCUCAGGAUGUGAGCGCUACUGGAAAUGCAGCAUUUAUCACCCAUCCUUAAUUGCCCUGAGAAGGCCAUCUCCUUUUAACUGCUGGCAAUCCUUCUGCUGAUGGUAUUCACACAAAAGUGUUAGGAACAUUGAAAAGAACACUGGAGGAUGAUGAUGAUUUUUCAAGUAUGCAGGUGGCUGUAGCUCAUAAUGGGUAACCUGUAACUACAGAAUUGCUUGUACUGGACAUGAUUGCUGUAUUAAAUAUAAGUGAAUAGGAGGAUGAAGUGUUAUUGAAGAUUAUGAAUACUAGAAGUUGAUAUUACACAGCACAUUUACUUUAUUUCCAUUUCUCAGCUUUGUCUGGCUACUUCUGAGGAAGUGAUGCUGGAACAGAAAACUUGCCCUUUGAGAACAACCUGGAGCAACAUAUGCCUGUGAAAUUGUAUAAUAGUGAUUUAAUUCUGACCGGGAAGUGGAGCAAAAUGAUUUUUUGAUGGAUUUACAAGUCUUCAUAUGCUAAUUUUACUUUUUUUUUUACCAGGACUGCCAUUUUGACAGUUAAUAAGUACGCAUGUGCUAAUACAUUGAUGCACUUUUGAUACUUGAAUUUUGAUUGUAUGUAAGUUUGAUAGGGAAAUAAUGCACUGUGUGCUUGAUGUCAGACCCAUACAUGCAAUUUAUGUUACAAAGUGUUAAUCUUUUUGU
Molecule: RNA transcript, 1392 nt
Organism: Mobula hypostoma (lesser devil ray)
Lineage: Eukaryota; Metazoa; Chordata; Chondrichthyes; Myliobatiformes; Myliobatidae
Gene: styx
Gene name: serine/threonine/tyrosine interacting protein
Exons: 12
Source: RefSeq, a predicted model, not a curated record